This 816-nucleotide ribosomal RNA is filed under the name uncultured bacterium. RNAcentral describes it as "bacterial SSU rRNA". It matches the Rfam family "Bacterial small subunit ribosomal RNA", at positions 97 to 891 of the family's 1533-position model. The record is from RNAcentral.
GGCAAACGGGUGAGUAACACGUGGGUGACCUGCCUUCGAGUGGGGGAUAACGUUUCGAAAGGAACGCUAAUACCGCAUGACAUCCCGCUCUUGGAUGAGGGGUGAUUAAAGCCGGGGAUCGCAAGACCUGGCGCUUGAAGAGGGGCCCGCGCCUGAUUAGCUAGUUGGUGGGGUAACGGCCUACCAAGGCGACGAUCAGUAGCCGGCCUGAGAGGGCGGACGGCCACACUGGGACUGAGACACGGCCCAGACUCCUACGGGAGGCAGCAGUGGGGAAUUGUUCGCAAUGGGCGCAAGCCUGACGACGCAACGCCGCGUGGAGGAUGAAGAUCCUCGGGUCGUAAACUCCUGUCGAGCGGGACGAACAUCUUCCGGGGGACAAUCCCGGAGGGCUGACGGUACCGCUAAAGGAAGCCCCGGCUAACUCCGUGCCAGCGGCCGCGGUAAUACGGGGGGGGCAAGCGUUGUUCGGAAUUACUGGGCGUAAAGGGCUCGUAGGCGGCGCGCUAAGUCAGACGUGAAAUCCCCCGGCUCAACCGGGGAACUGCGUCUGAGACUGGCGGGCUUGAAUCCGGGAGAGGGAUGCAGAAUUCCAGGUGUAGCGGUGAAAUGCGUAGAUAUCUGGAGGAAUACCGGUGGCGAAGGCGGCAUCCUGGACCGGCAUUGACGCUGAGGAGCGAAAGCCAGGGGAGCAAACGGGAUUAGAUACCCCGGUAGUCCUGGCCCUAAACGAUGAAUGCUGGGUGUAACGGGUAUCGAUCCCUGUUGUGCCGAAGCUAACGCAUUAAGCAUUCCGCCUGGGGAGUACGGUCGCAA